GACGAACGCUGGCGGCGUGCUUAACACAUGCAAGUCGAACGGAAAGGCCCUGCUUAUGUGGGGUGCUGGAGUGGCGACCGGGUGAGUAACACGUGAGUAACCUGCAAUUGACUUUGGGAUAACUUCAGGAAAGUGGGGCUCAUCCCGGAUAGGAGCUCUUGCUUCAUGGUGGGGGCUGGAAAGUUUAGGAGGUUGGGGAUGGACUCGCGGAUCAGCAGCUUGGUGGAUGGGUAGUGGCGUAUCAAGGCCUUGAACGGUAGCCGGGCUGCGAGGGGGAGCGGCCACGUUGGGACUGAGAUACGGCCCAGACUCCUACGGUAGGGAGCAGUGGGGAAGAGUGCACUAUGGGCGGAAGCCUGAUGCAGCAACGCCGCGUGCGGUAUGACGUCCUUCGCGUUGUAUUGUGCUUCCGCCUUUGACGGGGUGUUAGUGACGGUAAUGGGUGAAGAAGCACCGGCUAACUACGUG
This 468-nucleotide ribosomal RNA is filed under the name uncultured bacterium. RNAcentral describes it as "partial 16S ribosomal RNA". It matches the Rfam family "Bacterial small subunit ribosomal RNA", at positions 28 to 507 of the family's 1533-position model. The record is from RNAcentral.